UACGUAGGGGCCGAGCGUUGUCCGGAGUUAUUGGGCGUAAAGCGCGCGCAGGCGGCUUCGCGCGCCCGACGUGAAAGCCCCCGGCUUAACCGGGGAGAGUCGUUGGGGACGGCGGAGCUUGAGGGCGGGAGAGGUCGGUGGAAUUCCCGGUGUAGUGGUAAAAUGCGUAGAGAUCGGGAGGAACACCUGUGGCGAAGGCGGCCGACUGGGCCGACCCUGACGCUGAGGCGCGAAGGCGUGGGGAGCGAACGGG
Molecule: ribosomal RNA, 253 nt
Filed under: uncultured bacterium
Lineage: Bacteria
Description: partial 16S ribosomal RNA
Rfam family: Bacterial small subunit ribosomal RNA
Source: RNAcentral